AGCGGCAUGGUGUUAGGCCUCACGGAUGGGCAUUCUCUCAGUUUUUUAACCAUUGUUGCAGACUGCGGCCAGCAGCGGCUAGAUGUUGCCUCUUGCUACGAACUGGUGAACAACAAGUGCGGAAGGAUUCGUACGUGCAAGCCAGCAGCAGCCUGGUGUUAGGGCCUCACGGAUGGACAUUCUCUCAAUUUGGUAGUCAUUGUUGCAGUCUGUAGACCGCGGAUAAUUCAAUGCACCAGUCAGGUAUUUCACAAAAAGUAUAUGAAAUAAUUUGCUUGAAUUUAGUAAUCUAUCUUUGAUGUGAUGCUUAUUUAUCAAUAUAUUGGUACAUGAACAAACAAUGCCAUCCCCGUGACAAAAGACCAGCUAACUUUUGGUCACUAUUUACAACUAAUUGAAGCACUCCUGCGACCAAUGUCAGCACAAUUUCUCUUCUUCACCUCUUAGUAGUAUGUCUAAUUAUAUUAAGCGCUGGUUAUUUCCAUCACAUAGUUCUUCAACUAAUUUCUAAUUUUCUACGCGUGCCACUUGAUAUCUGGUCAGUAUUUAUAUUUUUUUAGGUUAGUUGUGCUUUACACUACCAACCUAACAAGAUCCUCAUAUACAGAUCUGAGUUGAAAAAGACAGUAGUCCUUUGCUUUUCAGAUAAUAGGCCAUAUAUGCCAAGUUUUAAAUUAAUGAAGACAACUUUACCAACUUAGCUUAGCUGAGUGGGUUGUUAUUUUGAGCUUAUCAUCUAUCGUCGUUCUAGAAUCACCAUAGUCGAUGGUGGCAAUCUGUGAUAGGACAACAACUCCUAUGAGGGCAACGAAUACGGCCGAUGUACUCGACUCAUCCCGUGUGUUGGCACCGUUGUCUUCCUCCCAGAGAGGCAAGUAUUAUCGAUGCUUCUUACCGUGGUGUAGGAUGCGUAGACGGUAGCUCAAUGUCCAGGUGGAUGCAGUCUGGCGGGGAAUAGGAGCUGCUGCCUACUUCUCUUGCACUCUCAAUCCCCUUAUUGCUUCGCCCGACUCUGAUUUCUUUGCUCUGUUGUCCUCUGAAAGCCUAGCAGAUCACAAGGUUAGUAUGAAAUAAUGUAAUGGGGUGGUCACGGCUCCCGAAUCUAUCAUGUUUAAUUUUAUAUACCUGAUGUUUUCUAUUGGGUAUAUUUUUUGUUCUUAUUCGAAGGCAACUCCAGACCCUGCUUCCAAUAUGUUGUCCUCAUCUAUUCUGGAGGUUUGCAACAAUUACGAGGGGUCUUUCUCCUGAAUUGUUCCCCAAACAAAGAAGGUAAAAACUAAUCUCUACACCUCACUUAGUGGUAUUUAAUUGACACAUUUGUUAUCGUGCUAUUGUUUGUUUCCACUAGGGAUCCAGUUUCCAUGUUAAUUUUUCAUUUGGUUCGGGUUUGUAACUUGUGGUUGAUGGUCAUGUUGAAAUUUUCUUUCUUGGAUAUUGAUUUGUGCUUUGAUUGUUUCAGAUAGUUAGUCUAUUAAUUAUUUUCAUUGGCUGAUUGCAAGGAGGUGAGUACUAUUGGCUCAAGGUGGUGUCUUUGGCACUUCAAAAACUAUUCGUCCUAUAAUAGGCAGUUUCAAAUUCCUCAUUUUACAUAGGUUAGACCAAUAGUAAGUUGAAGAUGUAAUGGCCUAAUGGGCUUAUAACCGGGUUGCCUGACUACCUCUCCUAGAUAGUGCAGCAGGAGAUUUUGUUGGCCAUACAUGCAUGGUGGGUAACUUCUGUAUACAUACAUAUCAUGAGUGUCUUCUUAAUGAUAGGCGGUACUGUUGGUGCAUACAAACCAGAAAAAUAAUACUUCCACUAGGAGCAUUGCUAAGCCUUUGUCUGUGUGCACAUGUUUCUAUUUUCCUAUAACUAGCUAUAUCAACAUAAGCAUUUCAACUAUAACUUGCGGUUAUGCUUUGCUUCUUUCAUAAUGAGAGAUGUUUGCCCCGGUAUUUGGUAAUGGUUCCCCCUUGGUAUAAAUCCUCUUCAGUUAUUGGUUUCUUAUUUUCUUUUUUUUCCCAGACCUGAAGAAUCGGACGGAGAAAUUUAUAUUUUUAGUGGAUACCUAUACCAAUGAAUGAGUCCUUGCAGAAUUUUCAAAUCGUCUUUCGGUUGAAUUAUUGUUCUCUACCUUCUUGCUAGCCAUUUCUCUACUUACAUUUAGUGAUCCUGAUGCCAAAUGGAUCAGACGAAAUAACAUCACAUCUUAAUUGAGCGAGAAAGGUUUGUGUGCCUAGGGAUGGGUGUUUUUCCUCCUCUUAUAUUCAGUUCGUUGAGCAUUUUGUGUGCCCUGUUCAGGCCAAGCUAUGUGCUCGCUUUUGUUUGGUUGUUUGUUUGCUUAUCCAGUAAUAUUACUAACCUGCAAUGACAUGCUGGCCAUAUACAUACAGUUCUUUGAAUUUUAUGUUGGAGAGUCUGAUCUAAUUGCUAACCAGUAUAUGCUUACAGUUCAACUAUUCUUCAUUGCCUUCAGAGAGGGCAUUGAUGCUCACUGAAUCUCUUUUUUGAUAGAACUUCGCCCAUCUUUGUGCAUAUGCUUGGGUUUUCAAUAAAAUAUGUUGUUAUUUGGUUCAAACCAAUUAUAAAACAAGUAUAUACUAUCAGUAGUUUGGAUUGUCCAUCCAUUCUGGACAGACAUAGGUGGAGUCACCGGUCAGGUAGUGCAUCCAACUGAAUUCCUACAUUUCGCCCAAAUUUCGUGAUAUGGCAGCAUUGAAAAGUACUCUUCAUUAGUAAUAUAAUAAUCUUGCAUUCCUAAGUCUGAUACCUGCUUUGCAUCCUUCCUGCAGGCAUGUGAGUUCAUUGAAGAAAAUAUGCAUGUUUUUUCCUUGUAUGGUUCAAGCUGUUUAAAUAGCAGACCAUUCGUGUUGCACAUUGGCCAUAACUAUCCAUACAUGUCCCUUCACAAACUACUAUCUAUUUCCGAGAUCUAAGGCAUAGCCGGGAUGGUGAGUAUGGGUUGAUGCACGCCUGCCGGCCUUAGUUCGAAUCUCCGCAUUCGCAACCCAGGUUCUACUCACUAAAUCUUCUACAAAACUGCCAAGGGCUUCUUCCCCUGUAGGCGUCAUUUUUUUAUUUAUUAUCUAUUUCCCUUAAACAGUUGAUUGGCAAUGUGGGGAAGUAGGAUUGUAGAGUGGACGCUCACUGGUUCCUUUUGCUUUGGUCAAGACGCACAUUACAACAACGGAAUAUAGUGAUUCAGAUAUGGGCCAAUUA
Lolium perenne is the source of this 3198-nucleotide non-coding RNA. The record is from RefSeq and is a predicted model, not a curated record. Lineage: Eukaryota; Viridiplantae; Streptophyta; Magnoliopsida; Poales; Poaceae.